GAUGAACGCUGGCGGCGUGCCUAAUACAUGCAAGUCGAGCGAACAGACGAGGAGCUUGCUCCUCUGACGUUAGCGGCGGACGGGUGAGUAACACGUGGAUAACCUACCUAUAAGACUGGGAUAACUUCGGGAAACCGGAGCUAAUACCGGAUAAUAUAUUGAACCGCAUGGUUCAAUAGUGAAAGACGGUUUUGCUGUCACUUAUAGAUGGAUCCGCGCCGCAUUAGCUAGUUGGUAAGGUAACGGCUUACCAAGGCAACGAUGCGUAGCCGACCUGAGAGGGUGAUCGGCCACACUGGAACUGAGACACGGUCCAGACUCCUACGGGAGGCAGCAGUAGGGAAUCUUCCGCAAUGGGCGAAAGCCUGACGGAGCAACGCCGCGUGAGUGAUGAAGGUCUUCGGAUCGUAAAACUCUGUUAUUAGGGAAGAGCAAAUGUGUAAGUAACUAUGCACGUCUUGACGGUACCUAAUCAGAAAGCCACGGCUAACUACGUG
RNAcentral lists this ribosomal RNA (497 nucleotides) under uncultured bacterium. Its description in RNAcentral is "partial 16S ribosomal RNA". It matches the Rfam family "Bacterial small subunit ribosomal RNA", at positions 28 to 507 of the family's 1533-position model. The record is from RNAcentral.